Long non-coding RNA from Astatotilapia calliptera (eastern happy), 1304 nucleotides. The record is from Ensembl. Lineage: Eukaryota; Metazoa; Chordata; Actinopteri; Cichliformes; Cichlidae.
GAGGGAGAGCCCGGCACAUAGAGGAUGCUGUGGAUGUCUCAGACUGCCUGUGUAUAUAUAUGUGUGUGUGUCUGUGACCGUCUGUUCUCGUGAGUGCACGCCAGCUUACAUGUGAGAAUGUGUGCGUAUAUGUGUGUGUGUCAUUUAUGAAUGCCCCCCGCUUUGUUUCAGUUGAGGUUCUCGGGAUAUUUGAUUAUUCACGUUUUGAACAAUGGAUCCAAAUCUUACAGGCAACUUUCCCUAUUGUUCAGUGGAUAUACUGUAUCUGUGUAUUCUUCCGUCAGCAACAACAAUCUGCGGGCUACGUCGUUCCUCAUCAGCCUGCCUUACAUACCACAGACUUGGGAUGUCGUUGGCAGCACGCCAUUUCAAUUAUCUUUCGCUCUCACUUUCUCCAGAGUAAUCUUUUAAUCUUACUGCUAUCCACCGAAGUCUCAGCCCAGUCUUUGAAAAUCACUUAGCAUUUUUCCCCCCUCUCUUUAAUGUUCAUCAAAUAUUGAAUUCUUUUUUUUUCUUUUUUUCAGUCUGAAUGUGUGUCUUGCAGCAGCAGCCUGUGCGGACACCCGCUGCAUGCUUCAUAAUAAUAAUAAUAAGGAUGAUGAUGAUGAUGAUGAUGUGGCUGGGGAGCAGCGCUUUGAUGAUCAGGUUCUGAUGAUUGUUUGUACACCACUCUUGUGCAUGAACAUUAGGUGUGCGUCCCCGCCAGUGGGUUUCACUGUUUUAAUAACCAGUUAGCAGUUUUGUGCCUUGCAAAUCUGGAAAUGCAUCACCAAAACGCACAGAUGAUGGUUUUAUAUAUAUUAAUUUUAAGAUGAAUACUUCACUGCAGUCUCAGAUCUUCACAUUUGUUCAGAUACUAGUGGCUGUGAUUUGACUGGAUCAGGUAGUAUCUCAUUAUACUGCACCGGGACUCAUAUCAGUGUGGCAGUAAGCCAAGUGGAACAAAGCAUUGUAUUGUCUCAUACUCAGUGUAAUCUGUCUUUUGAAACAAGGCGUGCGAACUGUUAAGUGCAGGAGAAAAAAAUUACAUGUUUUGACACCGUGCCGCGACAGAUGCUGCUUGUUAAGUUGUAGAGUAUCAUGGUGCUGCCACUGCUCAUUUUCUCCCUCCUUUAGGGUUUGUUUGUUUCAGCCGCGUUUGGAUCAAGUCUAAUUAUCCAUCCAUCUUCAUCCGCUUUAUCCGAGGCCGGGUUGCGGGGGCAGCAGCCUAAGCAAAGAGGCCCAGACCUCCCUCUCCCCAGCCACCUCCUCCAGCUUAUCCCGGGGAAUACCAAGGCGUUCCCAGGCCAGCCGAGAGAUAUAAU